UGAGGAACAUGACCUUCGGCGGGGGGAUAGCCGGCCCAACGGCCGGGUAAUACCGCGUACGACCACAUGGGGACAUCCCUGAGUGGUGAAAGCAGCAAUGCGCCGAAAGAGUGCCUCGCGGCCUAUCAGCUAGUUGGUGGGGUAAUGGCUCACCAAGGCAACGGACGGGUAGCUGGCCUGAGAGGAUGGCCAGCCACAUUGGGACUGAGACACGGCCCAGACUCCGUAGGGAG
RNAcentral lists this ribosomal RNA (233 nucleotides) under uncultured bacterium. RNAcentral describes it as "partial 16S ribosomal RNA". It matches the Rfam family "Bacterial small subunit ribosomal RNA", at positions 118 to 347 of the family's 1533-position model. The record is from RNAcentral.